UACGUAGGGGGCGAGCGUUGUCCGGAUUUAUUGGGCGUAAAGAGCGUGUAGGCGGCCAGGUAGGUCUGCUGUGAAAACUCGAGGCUCAACCUCGAGACGUCGGCGGAAACCAUCUGGCUAGAGUCCGGAAGAGGAGAGCGGAAUUCCUGGUGUAGCGGUGAAAUGCGUAGAGAUCGGGAGGAACAUCCGUGGCGAAGGCGACUACCUGGACCAGCACUGACACUGAGGCACGAAAGCGUGGGGAGCAAACAGG
Molecule: ribosomal RNA, 253 nt
Filed under: uncultured bacterium
Lineage: Bacteria
Description: partial 16S ribosomal RNA
Rfam family: Bacterial small subunit ribosomal RNA
Source: RNAcentral